CUCUCUUCUAUCUCCCCUAGGUGGGCCCCGCUGCCUCCCACGUCUCCUACCUCUCACUCUUUGUUCGCGACUCGCCGCCUCCGCUACCUGCCCUCUUCUUGUUGGCGAGAUCUCCCCUCCUCCGUCUCGGCUCUCCCAUGGAUCUGGUCGCGGCGGCCGCCGCCGCAAUCCUCGUGCUCCUCGCCGUCGCUGUGGCGGUUCCAAGAACGGCGGCCUCGAUCCACGCCUAUGAUCUCGAGCCCUUCAGGGAGGUCGGCAACUCCGUCCUCCUCUCCGGCGGCAGCGAAGGGAUCGUUGCGUCGGACCCCGAUGCUCGUGGCCCCUUUCGGAUCGAGGAUGGCCGUGCUUAUAUCAAGUUUGACAACAUCACGUUCUGGAGGAGUAAAGAAUCAGCCGAACAGCACUCAAACAUGGGGCACAGCACAGGAUUAAUCCAGGCUAUUAUAUUUGAAGCAUCUGACCGUGAUAACAUUGGUGGAUCUGCUUAUGGGGGGCAAAGGUCCAUAUGUUGCACCCCUGAUCUUGCUAAGCUUGAAGGAUGCAAACAAGGUGAAGUCAUCAGAAGACCAUCCUCCGUGGAUCCAAAUUGGCCUGUUAUAUUAAGCACGCACUUCAGGGCAGAUUACAUAUUCACAAAGAUGGAACCUAAUCAGGUUAAUAUAACAAAGACUGGAAUGUAUAACUUGUUCUUUAUCUCUUGUGAUCCUAAGCUAAGGGGACUGACAAUGAGUGGGAAGACAAUCUGGAAAAACCCUGAUGGUUACCUGCCUGGGAGGAUGGCACCGCUAAUGAAAUUCUACUUCUUCAUGUCUAUGGCAUAUCUGGCACUCAGUUUCAUUUGGUUUGCUCAGUACAUUAGAUUCUGGAGGGAUAUCUUGCCUCUUCAGAAUUGUAUUUCAUUAGUUAUAGCUCUUGGCCUGUUUGAAAUGACUCUUUGGUACUUUGAGUACUUAAAUUUCAAUGACACUGGUGUGCGACCUAUAGGAAUAACCACUUGGGUUGUGACCGUUGGGGCUGUCAGAAAAACUGUUUCACGUCUUCUUAUUCUUACGGUUUCUAUGGGUUAUGGUGUUGUACGGCCAACACUUGGAGGUCUUACAACCAAGGUGCUUCUUCUUGGAGUAACUUAUUUUUUGGCAUCAGAGUUACUCAGUAUCACGGAAAAUGUUGGGACAAUCAAUGACAUUUCUGGCAAAGCAAAAUUGCUCCUUGUCCUUCCUGAUGCAUUUCUGGAUGCUUUCUUGAUUCUUUGGAUCUUUACGUCUCUUUCACGGACAUUAGAAAAGCUGCAGGCUAGGAGGAGUUCUGUGAAGUUAGAUAUAUACCGGAAGUUUACGAACGCAUUGGCUGUUGCUGUGAUUGCUUCAGUCUCUUGGAUUGGAUAUGAGGUUUAUUUCAAAGCAACAGACCCCUUCAGCGAGAGAUGGCAGAGUGCAUGGAUCAUUACUGCUUUCUGGGACAUUCUUUCCUUGGUGCUGCUCUGUGUCAUGUGCUAUCUGUGGGCACCAUCUCAAAGCUCUCAAAGAUAUGCUUAUUCGGGUGAAGCUGGCGACGACGAUGAAGAAGCACAAUCUCUUACAAAAGGGACUUCUGAUGGCAACAUUGGAUUGGUGAAGCUCGAUAAAAAGGAAAGGACUGCAGAUCAUGCCGAUGCAUUUAGUCUUGAAGAUGAGGCGGAAGAGGACAAGCUGGAGUAGAUUCUCCUUGUGUACAUUGUUCUACCCUAUGAAGAUUGUAGCAGCAGCCAAACAAUCAUCACCAUCCUUUCGAGCAGAAGAUAGCAGCAAAUGGAUGUUCAACGAAGCUGUGUGUACACGGUGAGAUGGUAUUUAUUGUGAUGGGAACCAACUGGACCAGCAAAGUCAAAAAGGAAACGACCGAGUCCUCUCCACUUUCCCGUGGUUUGGUUUCUCUAAGGUGCCGCUUGUUGUUGGUCUAAAGAACUCAUCGUUCCUUUCCUCCACCGCCAAGCGAUAACAACGCCCUUCUCGGAUUCACUGUGAUCGCGAUGGCCGGGCGAUCUGGCGGAGGCGGAGGCGGCCCGAGCUCGGGCCAAAACCCUCGCGGAUGGGACUUCCGAUGGGGAUCUGACCGUGCCGGUGGUAGAGGUGGCGGGUGGGAGUACUUCUGGGGCGUUGGCUCGGCGCCCGGCGGCGGGGGCGGGGGCGCUGCUGCUGAUUUCGGCUUCUGGCGAGGGUCGUACGGCCGACCCGAGAACGGCGCCCACCAGUUCGGGUUUGGAUGGAGCGGUCGUUCCGAUGACGGACGCGUCGGCGGGGGAGGAGGCGGCGGUGGAGGGUACGGCUUCGGAUUCGGUGGCGGUGGCGGUGGCGGGGGCGGGGGUGGGACUUCGAGCGUUGGAGGGUUCGGGUUUGGUGGAGCUCGCGGUGGCGGAGCAGGCUCUAACAGCGCUCCGCCGCGGGGUACCGGACCGUGAUGGGAGUAGCUUCAGAAUUACGAUUGUGCCCCCUCUCUGCUGUAAUAUCUACUGUAUCUUGCAUGUGAUGUUUGUGGGUGUUAAUACAUAAACGAUGUGGAGAAAAAUAAGGGGAGGAGGACGCUUUGUAAUAGGAAUCUAAUUAUGGACACUAUGUUUGGAAUUUUACUACGCUUAAGAGCACAUAACGUUACUUGCGAUGUUUAA
This is an RNA transcript of Musa acuminata AAA Group (dessert banana), 2644 nucleotides long. RefSeq lists it as uncharacterized. The transcript is spliced from 6 exons. NCBI's taxonomy places the organism in Eukaryota, Viridiplantae, Streptophyta, Magnoliopsida, Zingiberales, Musaceae. The record is from RefSeq and is a predicted model, not a curated record.